Molecule: transfer RNA, 64 nt
Filed under: Grammomys surdaster
Lineage: Eukaryota; Metazoa; Chordata; Mammalia; Rodentia; Muridae
Description: tRNA-Lys
Source: RNAcentral
CAUCAUGAAGCUUAAAGCGUUAACCUUUUAAGUUAGAGUCAGAGAUAUUAAAUCUCCAUGAUGA